This 253-nucleotide ribosomal RNA is filed under the name uncultured bacterium. RNAcentral describes it as "partial 16S ribosomal RNA". It matches the Rfam family "Bacterial small subunit ribosomal RNA", at positions 524 to 776 of the family's 1533-position model. The record is from RNAcentral.
UACGAAGGGGGCUAGCGUUGCUCGGAAUUACUGGGCGUAAAGGGUGCGUAGGCGGGGCUUUAAGUCAGAGGUGAAAUCCUGGAGCUCAACUCCAGAACUGCCUUUGAUACUGAGGAUCUUGAGUUCGGGAGAGGUGAGUGGAACUGCGAGUGUAGAGGUGAAAUUCGUAGAUAUUCGCAAGAACACCAGUGGCGAAGGCGGCUCACUGGCCCGAUACUGACGCUGAGGCACGAAAGCGUGGGGAGCAAACAGG